This 246-nucleotide long non-coding RNA is filed under the name Capsella rubella. RNAcentral's name for it is "long non-coding RNA (CRUB_LNC003274)". Lineage: Eukaryota; Viridiplantae; Streptophyta; Magnoliopsida; Brassicales; Brassicaceae. The record is from RNAcentral.
UAGAGAAGUCUAAUAGCUCGAUGAAGUACUUUCCGUGGUAUACAUUAUACAUUGUUACACUAUAAGACAGUGACAAAUCUGAGAGGGCCGUUUCCUUUUGUUUCUUUGUACGGAGUUUUUAGUAAACAUGAGAAGAGAGCUCUUGAAACAUGAGAAGAGAGCUCUUGAAUUGCUAUGUUCCUCGUGUUUCUGAGUCAAACCUCUCCUGGUCUUUUGUAUUAUUUCCUGAAAUAUUACCCAUUUGAU